Pleuronectes platessa (European plaice) is the source of this 1229-nucleotide long non-coding RNA. RefSeq lists it as uncharacterized. The record is from RefSeq and is a predicted model, not a curated record. The transcript is spliced from 5 exons. Lineage: Eukaryota; Metazoa; Chordata; Actinopteri; Pleuronectiformes; Pleuronectidae.
GAUUGAGACAUGGAGAAAACUAAAAAGAGAAAACAGGUGAAGCGAUGUUCAAAACAAUCAGGUGGAAGUGAGGAAGAUGGAGAAGACAAACCAGAGAGACAUGAAGGAGAGGAACAGGAGAGGACCAGAGUGAGAGACGGACGACAGGAAACGGAGAGAACAGAGCGAGCUGUAGAGGAGAGAGAGAGAGAGAGAGAGAGAGAGAGAGAGAGAGAGAGAGAGAGAGAGAGAGAGAGAGAGCGCGCGGAAGAGAGCAUAUUACUCGUGGCAGACUCUGUGAUGGAGUUAAUGGGGUUUAGCCACUUCCUAUAUUUCAUUACUGCCUUUACUGUCCUUCUUGACAAGCGUGAAAGAGGAACGUGAAAUAGCCCUGUUUCAGCAAUUUUUUUUGUUUUCCUGUAUUUUAUUUGUUAUCACAUCUGAGUAUAUUCAGUCAAAUUGCCUUUUCUCAGAUGGUCUGACAGCAACAUGACAACAGCCUCAAUUUCCAUCAGAUUUAUUAUUUCGUUUACGGGAAAUUUAACAAGGAUAGUUAAAAAAGACAGGCUGUUCAAUGCUGCUUACAGCUUCAGUUGAGGAAGAUUCAGGUUUGGUUUGAUCUACCACCAUCGAGUUCAGCAUGCAGUUCAGUGGAAAGAGGAAGGAAGUCACAGACGAGAGCAGCAGCUACUAUGAGUGUAACUGCAGCAGCCAGUGGAUUUGUUGUCCUUCUUCUCACUGUGACAGUGGUACAGUGUGAGAAUGGCUGGGAUGUGAGUUACACUUCUACUGAGAUCUUUGCCUUCAGAGGAUCAACAGUGGACAUUACCUGUACCUACACAUACCCAUCCACAUUUAAUAACCAUGAUACUACAGUUCAGGAAACUUUCUGGUUCAUUAAAGAGAGUAAUGGGAUUCACGUUGAUCUAAGGACUGAUCCGGAGUAUUCAGGUCGUGUGGAGAAUCUCUGUGGAAACAACAAGUGCACUCUGAGAAUCACUAACCUGAGAGAGAGCGACUCAGCUGUGUACAAGUUCAGGUUCACAACAAACCAACCUACUGGGAGUUUAACUGGUUCAGCUGGAGUCACUGUUUCUGUCACAGGUUUGCAUGUGCAGGUGAGCAGAUCAGUGAUGUAUUACUCUACUAACCAGGCAGAGCUCAGGUGUCAGAGCAGUUGUCGUCUUCCUGAUCAUCUGAACUACGUCUGGUACAAGAAUCAACAGAAGAGGAAGGAAGGAGAAUCUUAU